Molecule: unclassified non-coding RNA, 329 nt
Filed under: soil metagenome
Description: partial contains 5.8S ribosomal RNA, internal transcribed spacer 2, and large subunit ribosomal RNA
Rfam family: 5.8S ribosomal RNA (bases 1-120)
Source: RNAcentral
GAUGAAGAACGCAGCGAAAUGCGAUAACUAAUGUGAAUUGCAGAAUUCCGUGAAUCAUCGAGUCUUUGAACGCACAUUGCGCCCCCUGGUAUUCCGGGGGGCAUGCCUGUCCGAGCGUCAUUACAACCCUCAAGCUCAGCUUGGUAUUGGGCCCCGCCGCUCCGGCGGGCCCUAAAGUCAGUGGCGGUGCCGUCCGGCUCCGAGCGUAGUAAUUCUUCUCGCUCUGGAGGUCCGGUCGUGUGCUCGCCAGCAACCCCCAAUUUUUUUCAGGUUGACCUCGGAUCAGGUAGGGAUACCCGCUGAACUUAAGCAUAUCAAUAAGCGGAGGA